AACGAACGCUGGCGGCAUGCCUAACACAUGCAAGUCGAACGAGACCUUCGGGUCUAGUGGCGCACGGGUGCGUAACGCGUGGGAAUCUACCCUUGGGUUCGGAAUAACUCAGAGAAAUUUGAGCUAAUACCGGAUGAUGUCGCAAGACCAAAGAUUUAUCGCCCAAGGAUGAGCCCGCGUAGGAUUAGCUUGUUGGUGAGGUAAAAGCUCACCAAGGCGACGAUCCUUAGCUGGUCUGAGAGGAUGAUCAGCCACACUGGGACUGAGACACGGCCCAGACUCCUACGGGAGGCAACAGUGGGGAAUAUUGGACAAUGGGCGAAAGCCUGAUCCAGCAAUGCCGCGUGAGUGAUGAAGGUCUUCGGAUCGUAAAGCACUGUCGGCAGGAACGAAGGUUUGCUGGGUUAAUACACCAGUAGAUUGACGGUACCUGCAAAGGAAGCACCGGCUAACUCUGUGCCAGCAGCCGCGGUAAU
This 476-nucleotide ribosomal RNA is filed under the name uncultured bacterium. RNAcentral describes it as "bacterial SSU rRNA". It matches the Rfam family "Bacterial small subunit ribosomal RNA", at positions 29 to 524 of the family's 1533-position model. The record is from RNAcentral.